Molecule: transfer RNA, 57 nt
Filed under: Mansonella perstans
Lineage: Eukaryota; Metazoa; Nematoda; Chromadorea; Rhabditida; Onchocercidae
Description: tRNA-Asn
Source: RNAcentral
GAAUUUUUAGUAUACUUUUGGUAUUACUAAUUGUUGAUUAGUAGGUUUUGGAAUUCU